RNAcentral lists this ribosomal RNA (458 nucleotides) under uncultured microorganism. RNAcentral describes it as "bacterial SSU rRNA". It matches the Rfam family "Bacterial small subunit ribosomal RNA", at positions 346 to 794 of the family's 1533-position model. The record is from RNAcentral.
GCGCAGCAGUCGCGAAUAGUCUACAAUGGACGAAAGUCUGAUAGUGCGACGCCGUGUGUGCGAUUAAUUCCUUCGGGAUGUAAAGCACUUUUCUAUGAGAUAAAAGCUCUUUAGGUUAAUAGCUUAUUGAGACGGAUAUUAUUAUAGGAAUAAGCUCCGGCUAACUCCGUGCCAGCAGCCGCGGUAAUACGGAAGGAGCGAGCGUUGUCCGGAUUUACUAGGCGUAAAGGGCUAGUAGGCGACUAAUUAAGUUAUAUGUUAAAUCCCACGGCUCAACUGUGGUCCUGCAUGUAAUACUGGUUAGAUAGAGUACUGUAGAGGAAGGCAGAAUUCCUGGAGUAGCGGUGGAAUGCGCAGAUAUCAGGAAGAAUACCAAAAGCGAAGGCAGCCUUCUGGGCAGUUACUGACGCUGAAUAGCGAAGGUGUGGGUAGCGAACAGGAUUAGAUACCCCCGUAGU